AUGCGCCGGCUACAACGCAGCAGCUUGGCUCGCAUUGCAUCCACCACCAGAGCGGCGUGGACGCGUCAGGGCAGCAGCAGCAGCCUAUUAGGAGCGAGAGCGGCGCCGUACUGCACCAUGGCGGGACGAUCAGGGGACGACGCGAUGGCGGGCGUGGCCACGGGCGGCGUGGAGGACGCCUACGGCGAGGACCGCGCCACCGAGGACCAGCCCGUCACGCCGUGGGCCGUCUGCAUCGCCAGUGGCCAUUCUCUGCUGAGGGAUCCGCGGCACAACAAGGGGCUGUCCUUCACGGAGAAGGAGCGGGACGCGCACUACCUGCGCGGCCUGCUGCCUCCGGUGGUCCUGUCCCAGGAGCUCCAGGAGAAGCGGCUGCUGCAGAACGUGCGGCAGCUCGAGGUCCCGCUGCAGCGCUACAUGUUCCUCAUGGACCUCCAGGAGAGGAACGAGAGGCUCUUCUACAAGCUCAUGAUCGACAACGUCGAGGAGCUGCUCCCCGUCGUCUACACGCCCACCGUCGGCGAGGCGUGCCAGAAGUACGGCUCCAUCUUCAGGCGCUCGCAGGGCCUCUACAUCAGUCUCAAAGACAAGGGGAGAGUACUGGAGGUGCUGAGGAACUGGCCAGAGAAGAGUAUUCAGGUCAUCGUUGUCACCGACGGCGAGCGCAUCUUAGGCCUCGGAGAUCUUGGCUGCCAGGGUAUGGGAAUUCCCGUGGGGAAGCUUGCGCUGUACACGGCCCUUGGUGGUGUCAGGCCAUCUGCCUGUUUACCCAUCACUAUUGAUGUGGGGACGAACAAUGAAGAGCUACUGAACGACGAGUUCUACAUUGGAUUACGGCAGAGAAGAGCUACGGGCCAGGAAUACACUGAGCUUCUGGAUGAGUUCAUGGUUGCCGUGAAGCAGAACUAUGGACAGAAGGUUCUUGUCCAGUUUGAAGACUUCGCAAAUCACAAUGCGUUUACCCUUCUCGACAAGUACAAGGCGACCCAUCUUGUCUUCAAUGAUGAUAUUCAGGGAACGGCUGCUGUGGUUCUUGCGGGCCUUAUGGCUGGUCUGAAGUUUGCUGGUGGAACUUUAGCUGAUCACACAUUCUUAUUCUUCGGUGCCGGAGAGGCUGGUACAGGCAUUGCUGAACUAGUUGCUUUGGAGAUAUCAAUGCAGUCCAAGACUUCACAGGAAGAGGCUCGCAAAAAUAUCUGGCUUGUUGAUUCAAAGGGAUUAAUCGUGAGUUCGCGUAAAGAUUCUAUACAGCCCUUCAAGAAGCUAUAUGCACAUGAGCAUGAACCAGUCAAAGAUCUUUUAAGUGCCAUCAAGGAUAUCAAACCGACCGCACUAAUAGGAUCAGCUGGUGUGGGCCAAAGUUUCACAAAAGAGGUGAUCGAGGCUAUGUCUUCGAUUAACAAGAGACCAAUCAUCCUUGCGCUAUCCAACCCAACAUCGAAAUCUGAAUGUACAGCUGAGCAGGCAUAUUCAUGGAGUCAGGGCCGUGCAAUAUUCGGGAGUGGAAGCCCAUUUGAUCCAGUGAAAUAUAACGAGAAGCUUUUCGUGCCUGCCCAGGCGAACAAUGCGUACAUCUUCCCAGGAUUUGGCUUAGGUGUAGUGAUCUCCGGGGCGAUAAGGGUGAAAGACGAUAUGGUCCUUGCUGCUGCUGAGGCCUUAGCCGAACAGGUCACGGCAGAGCAUUUCGACAAAGGUCUGAUCUAUCCACCCUUCUCCAGCAUCAGGAAGAUAUCAGCUAAUAUCGCGGCUCGUGUCGCUGCGAAAGCCUAUGACCUUGGACUGGCAAGCCAUCUCCCUCGCCCAAAAGACUUGGUGAAGUACGCUGAGAGCUGCAUGUACAGCCCCAUCUACCGUUCAUACAGAUGA
This 1866-nucleotide ribosomal RNA is filed under the name Triticum aestivum (bread wheat). Its description in RNAcentral is "partial small subunit ribosomal RNA". Lineage: Eukaryota; Viridiplantae; Streptophyta; Magnoliopsida; Poales; Poaceae. The record is from RNAcentral.